GUCUAUGGCCAACCACCCUGAACACACCUGAUCUUGUAAGCUAGGCAGGGUCGGGCCUGGUUAGUGCUUGGAUGGGAGAGAAAGUGUGGUUCUGUGGCUC
RNAcentral lists this ribosomal RNA (100 nucleotides) under Nannospalax galili (Upper Galilee mountains blind mole rat). The record is from RNAcentral. Lineage: Eukaryota; Metazoa; Chordata; Mammalia; Rodentia; Spalacidae.